Molecule: microRNA precursor, 59 nt
Filed under: Ascaris suum (pig roundworm)
Lineage: Eukaryota; Metazoa; Nematoda; Chromadorea; Rhabditida; Ascarididae
Description: Asu-Mir-184_pre stem-loop
Source: RNAcentral
UGCUUAUCAGCUGCCAGCCCUGUUGCAACUUGAAACUGGACGGAAGACUGAUAAGAGCC